RNAcentral lists this long non-coding RNA (534 nucleotides) under Mytilus galloprovincialis (Mediterranean mussel). The record is from RNAcentral. Lineage: Eukaryota; Metazoa; Mollusca; Bivalvia; Mytilida; Mytilidae.
GCCCAUAAAAAUUAUUUGUCCACUUUUGCAUUUGUGUAAAAAAAACAUGUGAGGGAUCUAAAAGAACCGAAUAUGCAUUUUGACACAACAUUUUGAAUGUAAUUUAUCAUUUUAAAACUGACAGCUGCUAAAGUAUUUGCACAAAUUCAAGCUUUUUUUUUAUCAGGCAGCAUAUCCUUCUGGAGGCUUGUUCACCUUUAAAUCAUACUGUCAAAAAAUCUAUGACAAAUAUGUUAUUGUUUGAAAAAGCAUAGGAAGGACUCUUUGAAAUUCCAUUCAAACAAUUAAUGCAUGAAUUCCUCUAUCCCAGGAAGGUCUAGGAGACAUCUGCUUUUAUUUUGGCUUUUAUGUGCAGAAUAUCUAAAUUUGCCUUUUAUAUAAAUUUUUAAUGAUAGAGAGAAAAAUACAUAAAAAUAAAAACAACCUUAAUAUUAAAACAAUAGUUGUAUAUAAAUAAAACAUUUGAAAGACAUUUGAUUUGGAUACACUGAUAUCAUCAUAAAAAUAAACAGGGAGAUAUCUAUAACAAAAUAC